This 429-nucleotide ribosomal RNA is filed under the name Gemmatimonadota bacterium. Its description in RNAcentral is "Gemmatimonadetes bacterium partial 16S ribosomal RNA". It matches the Rfam family "Bacterial small subunit ribosomal RNA", at positions 355 to 776 of the family's 1533-position model. The record is from RNAcentral. Lineage: Bacteria; Pseudomonadati; Gemmatimonadota.
UAGGGAAUCUUCGGCAAUGGACGAAAGUCUGACCGAGCAACGCCGCGUGAGUGAAGAAGGUUUUCGGAUCGUAAAACUCUGUUGUUAGAGAAGAACAAGGACGUUAGUAACUGAACGUCCCCUGACGGUAUCUAACCAGAAAGCCACGGCUAACUACGUGCCAGCAGCCGCGGUAAUACGUAGGUGGCAAGCGUUGUCCGGAUUUAUUGGGCGUAAAGCGAGCGCAGGCGGUUUCUUAAGUCUGAUGUGAAAGCCCCCGGCUCAACCGGGGAGGGUCAUUGGAAACUGGGAGACUUGAGUGCAGAAGAGGGGAGUGGAAUUCCAUGUGUAGCGUUGAAAUGCGUAGAUAUAUGGAGGAACACCAGUGGCGAAGGCGGCUCUCUGGUCUGUAACUGACGCUGAGGCUCGAAAGCGUGGGGAGCAAACAGG